This 266-nucleotide ribosomal RNA is filed under the name uncultured bacterium. RNAcentral's name for it is "partial 16S ribosomal RNA". It matches the Rfam family "Bacterial small subunit ribosomal RNA", at positions 1235 to 1500 of the family's 1533-position model. The record is from RNAcentral.
UGGUACAACGAGUCGCCAACCCGCGAGGGUGCGCUAAUCUCUUAAAACCAUUCUCAGUUCGGAUUGCAGGCUGCAACUCGCCUGCAUGAAGUCGGAAUCGCUAGUAAUCGCGGAUCAGCACGCCGCGGUGAAUACGUUCCCGGGCCUUGUACACACCGCCCGUCACACCACGGAAGUUGGGAGUACCCAAAGUAGGUUGCCUAACCGCAAGGAGGGCGCUUCCUAAGGUAAGACCGAUGACUGGGGUGAAGUCGUAACAAGGUAGC